This is a long non-coding RNA of Sphaeramia orbicularis (orbiculate cardinalfish), 438 nucleotides long. RefSeq lists it as uncharacterized. The transcript has 2 exons. NCBI's taxonomy places the organism in Eukaryota, Metazoa, Chordata, Actinopteri, Kurtiformes, Apogonidae. The record is from RefSeq and is a predicted model, not a curated record.
UUCACCUGAGGAGAAAAACAAACAGCAGUUGUUGUGAUUGUCCAUUUGGACACACAGCUUACAAUCAAGUACAAAUGACCAGGUUGCAUUUGGAAGACUAUAGAGGAUCAGGAUUUGUCUUUUCUGGAUUCAUUUUAUGCAUGCCAGUUUUGCCAGAAAGCAACCGGUGGAGAAGGAUUUCACAACAAGUCAAUGAUAAUACUGCUGCUUAAUUUAGGAUGCAAUGUGUAUGAGUGGAAACAUUGACAACUACACAAAAAGUCAGAAAACACUAACAUCUUUUAAUUGUUGCAGACAACAGAACAUAGAGCAUGUCCCAAAAUACAAUCAGGCCCAUGUUUGACUUACAAGCUCUCUUCUUUUACUAUCCUCUGUUGCUUCAUCUGUGAGCUGUGCAAAGACUUCAGUUAGGAACUUUUCAUCCUCCUAUGCCCCCCC